This 563-nucleotide ribosomal RNA is filed under the name uncultured Paracoccaceae bacterium. RNAcentral's name for it is "bacterial SSU rRNA". It matches the Rfam family "Bacterial small subunit ribosomal RNA", at positions 9 to 618 of the family's 1533-position model. The record is from RNAcentral. Lineage: Bacteria; Pseudomonadati; Pseudomonadota; Alphaproteobacteria; Rhodobacterales; Paracoccaceae.
GAGUUUGAUCCUGGCUCAGAACGAACGCUGGCGGCAGGCCUAACACAUGCAAGUCGAGCGCUCUCUUCGGAGGGAGCGGCGGACGGGUGAGUAACGCGUGGGAACGUGCCCAAAGGUGGGGAACAACCGCUGGAAACGGCGGCUAAUACCCCAUGUGCCCUACGGGGGAAAGAUUUAUCGCCUUUGGAUCGGCCCGCGUCGGAUUAGCUAGUUGGUGGGGUAACGGCCCACCAAGGCGACGAUCCGUAGCUGGUUUGAGAGGAUGAUCAGCCACACUGGGACUGAGACACGGCCCAGACUCCUACGGGAGGCAGCAGUGGGGAAUCUUGGACAACGGGGGCAACCCUGAUCCAGCCAUGCCGCGUGAGCGAUGAAGGCCCUAGGGUUGUAAAGCUCUUUCACCGGUGAAGAUAAUGACGGUAGCCGGAGAAGAAGCCCCGGCUAACUCCGUGCCAGCAGCCGCGGUAAUACGGAGGGGGCUAGCGUUGUUCGGAAUUACUGGGCGUAAAGCGCGCGUAGGCGGGCUGUUAAGUCGGGGGUGAAAUCCCGGGGCUCAACCCCGG